Molecule: ribosomal RNA, 809 nt
Filed under: uncultured Oomycota
Lineage: Eukaryota; Oomycota
Description: LSU rRNA
Rfam family: Eukaryotic large subunit ribosomal RNA
Source: RNAcentral
ACCCGCUGAACUUAAGCAUAUUAAUAAGCGGAGGAAAAGAAACUAACUAGGAUUCCCCCAGUAACGGCGAGUGAAGCGGGAUGAGCUCAAGCUUAAAAUCUCUGUGUCAAUUUGGCAUGGCGAAUUGUAGUCUAUAGAGGCGCUAUCAGUGCAGGCACUUGGGGUAAGUUCCUUGGAAGAGGACAGCAUCGAGGGUGAUACUCCCGUUUGUACCUGAGUGCUUGUGCGUACGAUACGUUUUCUUUGAGUCGCGUUGUUUGGGACUGCAGCGCAAAGUAGGUGGUAAAUUCCAUCUAAAGCUAAAUAUUGGUGCGAGACCGAUAGCGAACAAGUACCGUGAGGGAAAGAUGAAAAGAACUUUGAAAAGAGAGUUAAAGAGUACCUGAAACUGCUGAAAGGGAAGCGAAUCGUAUCCAGUGUCUAUAAUCUGUGGCAUAUUUCAUUGGCGUACGUGUGCGUGUUGUGUGUUGGAAGUGGUAAUUUCUUACCGCUCUGCAUGUAAUUCUGCGCGUGUCUGCUGGUGCCCUGUGUCAUGGUGGGACGUCAGAGUCAGUUCGUAUGCUGCGGGAAAUGGCUAUCGAGGAGGUAGGUCAGAAGCUUGCUUUUGGCUGUUAUAUCUUGGUAGCUAGUGAUCGCGGUUGGGACUGAGGUGCCUACAACGUGCUUUGGGGUCACUCGGAGUCUCCUUUGGCUGCCUGCUAGGAUAGCUUGCUAUGUUUGCGUGGUCGUCGGUGGAUGGAGUCUGAGUGUAACCUGUGCCGUUCGGGACUUUGACGAAAUGGAGCGAUUCGGCCCGUCUUGAAACACGG